CCUACGGGUGGCAGCAGUGAGGAAUAUUGGUCAAUGGCCGAAGGGCUGAACCAGCAACGUCGCGUGAGGGAUGAAGGUCCUACGGAUUGUAAACCUCUUUUGUCAGGGAGCAAAGAGCGACACGAGUGGCGCUUUGCGAGUCCCUGCAGAAAUAGCAUGGGCUAACUAAGUGCCUGCAGCCGCGGUCAUAAGGAGGAAGCGAGCGUUAGCCGGAUUUAUUGGGUUUAAAGGGGGCGCGGGCGGAAGGUCAAGUCAGCGUGAAAAUUUCGGGGCUCAACCCCGUCGUGCCGUUGAAACUGGCGUUCUUGAGUGAACGAGAGGUAAGCGGAAUGCGUAGUGUAGCGGUGAAAUGCAUAGAUAUCAGGCAGAACUCCGGUGGCGAAGGCGGCUUUCCGGCGUGUAACUGACGCUGAGGCACGAAAGCGUGGGUAGCGAACAGGAUUAGAUACCCUUGUAGUC
Molecule: ribosomal RNA, 459 nt
Filed under: uncultured bacterium
Lineage: Bacteria
Description: partial 16S ribosomal RNA
Rfam family: Bacterial small subunit ribosomal RNA
Source: RNAcentral